CCGCCCUGGGUUAGUCGGGACCUAAGCUGAGGCCGAAAGGCGUAGGUGAUGGACAACAGGUUGAUAUUCCUGUACUACCGAUAACCGUUUGAGAGAAGGGAUGACACAGUAGGAUAAGCUAAGCACACUGUUGGUUAUGUGUGCCCAAGCAUUGAGGCAGUCAAAGUAGGCAAAUCCGCUUUGAUAAUGCUGGGAUGUGAUGGGGAGCGAAAUUUAGUAGCGAAGUAGCUGAUUUCACACUGUCAAGAAAAGUCUCUAUCGAGGUUAAAGGUACCCGUACCGCAAACCGACACAGGUGGGUGAGGAGAGUAUCCUAAGGCCAGCGAGAGAACUGUUGUUAAGGAACUCGGCAAAAUGACCCCGUAACUUAGGGAUAAGGGGUGCCACCCUUAGGUGGCCGCAGAGAAUAGGCCCAAGCGACUGUUUACCAAAAACAUAGGUUUCUGCUAAGUCGCAAGACGAUGUAUAGGAGCUGACGCCUGCCCGGUGCUGGAAGGUUAAGGGGAUCUGUUAGAG
Molecule: ribosomal RNA, 516 nt
Filed under: Clostridioides difficile
Lineage: Bacteria; Bacillati; Bacillota; Clostridia; Peptostreptococcales; Peptostreptococcaceae
Description: bacterial LSU rRNA
Rfam family: Bacterial large subunit ribosomal RNA
Source: RNAcentral